UCGGGAAUUUUGCCCAAUGGACGAAAGUCUGAGGCAGCAACUCCGCGUGAGGGACGAAGGCUCUAGGGUCGUAAACCUCUUUUCUCAGGGAAGAUCCAAGACGGUACCUGAGGAAUAAGCGACGGCUAACUACGUGCCAGCAGCCGCGGUAAUACGUAGGUCGCAAGCGCUGUCCGGAUUUACUGGGCGUAAAGAGCGCGCAGGCGGCUGGUCAAGUCCGAUGUGAAAUCUCCCGGCUCAACUGGGAAACUGCAUCGGAAACUGAUCGGCUUGAAGGUAGGAGAGGGUAGUGGAAUUCCCGGUGUAGUGGUGAAAUGCGUAGAUAUCGGGAGGAACACCAGUGGCGAAGGCGACUACCUGGCCCGUACUUGACGCUGAGGCGCGAAAGCUAGGGGAGCGAACAGG
Molecule: ribosomal RNA, 405 nt
Filed under: Bacillota bacterium
Lineage: Bacteria; Bacillati; Bacillota
Description: Firmicutes bacterium partial 16S ribosomal RNA
Rfam family: Bacterial small subunit ribosomal RNA
Source: RNAcentral